RNAcentral lists this unclassified non-coding RNA (247 nucleotides) under uncultured fungus. RNAcentral describes it as "sequence contains ITS2". The record is from RNAcentral. Lineage: Eukaryota; Fungi.
AACGCACAUUGCGCCCGCUAGUAUUCUGGCGGGCAUGCCUGUUCGAGCGUCAUUUCAACCAUCAAGCCCUUAGCUUGUGUUGGGGACCUGCGGCUGCCGCAGCCCCCGAAAUGCAGUGGCGGGCUCGUUGUCACACCGAGUGCAGUAAUUAUUCUUCUCUCCGGGCGUGGCGGCGGGUUCCAGCCGUGAAACCACUAAAUUUAUCAAGGUUGACCUCGGAUCAGGUAGGAAUACCCGCUGAACUUAA